GGGAUUAGGGUUUGAUUAUGGCUCAGGAUGAACGCUAGCGGCAGGCCUAAUACAUGCAAGUCGAACGGUAACAUUGGUGCUUGCACCAGAUGACGAGUGGCGCACGGGUGCGUAACGCGUAUGCAAUCUACCUUUUACUAGAGUAUAGCCCAGAGAAAUUUGGAAUAAUCCUCUAUAAUAUCUUUAAGUUUCAUGACUUUUAGAUUAAAGUUUUAACGGUAAAAGAUGAGCAUGCGUCCUAUUAGUUUGUAGGUGAGGUAACGGCUCACCUAGACUACGAUAGGUAGGGGCCCUGAGAGGGGGAUCCCCCACACUGGUACUGAGACACGGACCAGACUCCUACGGGAGGCAGCAGUAAGGAAUAUUGGACAAUGGACGAAAGUCUGAUCCAGCCAUGCCGCGUGCAGGAUGAAAGCCCUAUGGGUUGUAAACUGCUUUUAUACAGGAAGAAACACUCGUACGUGUACGAGCUUGACGGUACUGUAAGAAUAAGGACCGGCUAACUCCGUGC
Molecule: ribosomal RNA, 511 nt
Filed under: uncultured bacterium
Lineage: Bacteria
Description: bacterial SSU rRNA
Rfam family: Bacterial small subunit ribosomal RNA
Source: RNAcentral